Molecule: ribosomal RNA, 253 nt
Filed under: uncultured bacterium
Lineage: Bacteria
Description: partial 16S ribosomal RNA
Rfam family: Bacterial small subunit ribosomal RNA
Source: RNAcentral
UACGGAGGGUGCAAGCGUUGUACGGAUUUAUUGGGUUUAAAGGGUGCGUAGGUGGAACUGUAAGUCUGAUUUGAAAGCAAGCGGCUUAACCGUUUGAUGUGGUUGGAAACUGUGGUUCUUGAAUGGGUUGGCGGUAGCCGGAAUGGGUCAUGUAGCGGUGAAAUGCAUAGAUAUGACCCGGAACACCGAUUGCGAAGGCAGGCUACUACGACUUGAUUGACACUGAGGCACGAGAGCAUGGGUAGAGAACAGG